ACAAAUAAAGGGAAUGAAGUUCUCCCUAAGUAAUAUAUUUACUUAAAACGCCUAUUAAAGCUGAUGACUUCUGCGAUUAA
This 80-nucleotide non-coding RNA is filed under the name Clostridiales bacterium. RNAcentral's name for it is "Fluoride sequence". It matches the Rfam family "Fluoride riboswitch aptamer (crcB RNA motif)". The record is from RNAcentral. Lineage: Bacteria; Bacillati; Bacillota; Clostridia; Eubacteriales.